UACAAAAUUACAACACGUGGUGCUGUUUC
Molecule: non-coding RNA, 29 nt
Filed under: Homo sapiens (human)
Lineage: Eukaryota; Metazoa; Chordata; Mammalia; Primates; Hominidae
Source: RNAcentral